UGGAGUUACGAUGAGGAUACCAAGCUCCCUCUUCUGACUUACAAGUUGAAGACGGAACGCUGGCAGAAUCGAACCUAAUGCUUUUAUCGCCACCACUGAGUAG
Molecule: non-coding RNA, 103 nt
Organism: Eucalyptus grandis
Lineage: Eukaryota; Viridiplantae; Streptophyta; Magnoliopsida; Myrtales; Myrtaceae
Source: Rfam